RNAcentral lists this ribosomal RNA (368 nucleotides) under uncultured organism. RNAcentral's name for it is "bacterial SSU rRNA". It matches the Rfam family "Bacterial small subunit ribosomal RNA", at positions 526 to 896 of the family's 1533-position model. The record is from RNAcentral.
CGGAGGGUGCAAGCGUUAUCCGGAUUCACUGGGUUUAAAGGGUGCGUAGGAGGGCAGGUAAGUCAGUGGUGAAAUCUCCGGGCUUAACUCGGAAACUGCCGUUGAUACUAUCUGUCUUGAAUACCGUGGAGGUGAGCGGAAUAUGUCAUGUAGCGGUGAAAUGCUUAGAUAUGACAUAGAACACCGAUUGCGAAGGCAGCUCACUACACGAAUAUUGACUCUGAGGCACGAAAGCGUGGGGAUCAAACAGGAUUAGAUACCCUGGUAGUCCACGCCCUAAACUAUGGAUACUCGACAUACGCGAUACACUGUGUGUGUCUGAGCGAAAGCAUUAAGUAUCCCACCUGGGAAGUACGACCGCAAGGUUG